This 445-nucleotide ribosomal RNA is filed under the name uncultured bacterium. Its description in RNAcentral is "partial 16S ribosomal RNA". It matches the Rfam family "Bacterial small subunit ribosomal RNA", at positions 354 to 796 of the family's 1533-position model. The record is from RNAcentral.
GUGAGGAAUAUUGGUCAAUGGGCGGGAGCCUGAACCAGCCAAGUCGCGUGAAGGAAGAAGGAUCUAUGGUUCGUAAACUUCUUUUGCAGGGGAAUAAAGUGCGGGACGUGUCCUGUUUUGUAUGUACCCUGAGAAUAAGGAUCGGCUAACUCCGUGCCAGCAGCCGCGGUAAUACGGAGGCUCCGAGCGUUAUCCGGAUUUAUUGGGUUUAAAGGGUGCGGAGGUGGUUUGAUAAGUCAGAGGUGAAAGUGUGCAGCUUAACUGUAAAAAUGCCGUUGAAACUGUCGGACUUGAGUGUAAAUGAGGUAGGCGGAAUGCGUGGUGUAGCGGUGAAAUGCAUAGAUAUCACGAAGAACUCCGAUUGCGAAGGCAGCUUACUAAGCUACAACUGACACUGAAGCACGAAAGCGUGGGGAUCAAACAGGAUUAGAAACCCUGGUAGUCC